GCCGGUGGUUAUAGCGAGGGGGAAACACCUGGUCCCAUCCCGAACCCAGCAGUUAAGCCCCUCAGCGCCGAUGGUACUCGGGCGUAAUGCCCCGGGAGAGUAGGUCGCCGCCGGCU
Molecule: ribosomal RNA, 116 nt
Filed under: Gemmatimonadota bacterium
Lineage: Bacteria; Pseudomonadati; Gemmatimonadota
Also listed under: 1 other name
Source: RNAcentral